This 890-nucleotide ribosomal RNA is filed under the name Salmonella enterica subsp. enterica serovar Infantis. RNAcentral describes it as "partial 23S ribosomal RNA". It matches the Rfam family "Bacterial large subunit ribosomal RNA", at positions 2053 to 2925 of the family's 2925-position model. Lineage: Bacteria; Pseudomonadati; Pseudomonadota; Gammaproteobacteria; Enterobacterales; Enterobacteriaceae. The record is from RNAcentral.
GUGAAGAUGCAGUGUACCCGCGGCAAGACGGAAAGACCCCGUGAACCUUUACUAUAGCUUGACACUGAACAUUGAGCCUUGAUGUGUAGGAUAGGUGGGAGGCUUUGAAGCGUGGACGCCAGUCUGCGUGGAGCCGACCUUGAAAUACCACCCUUUAAUGUUUGAUGUUCUAACGUGGAUCCGUAAUCCGGGUUGCGGACAGUGUCUGGUGGGUAGUUUGACUGGGGCGGUCUCCUCCUAAAGAGUAACGGAGGAGCACGAAGGUUGGCUAAUCCUGGUCGGACAUCAGGAGGUUAGUGCAAUGGCAUAAGCCAGCUUGACUGCGAGCGUGACGGCGCGAGCAGGUGCGAAAGCAGGUCAUAGUGAUCCGGUGGUUCUGAAUGGAAGGGCCAUCGCUCAACGGAUAAAAGGUACUCCGGGGAUAACAGGCUGAUACCGCCCAAGAGUUCAUAUCGACGGCGGUGUUUGGCACCUCGAUGUCGGCUCAUCACAUCCUGGGGCUGAAGUAGGUCCCAAGGGUAUGGCUGUUCGCCAUUUAAAGUGGUACGCGAGCUGGGUUUAGAACGUCGUGAGACAGUUCGGUCCCUAUCUGCCGUGGGCGCUGGAGAACUGAGGGGGGCUGCUCCUAGUACGAGAGGACCGGAGUGGACGCAUCACUGGUGUUCGGGUUGUCAUGCCAAUGGCACUGCCCGGUAGCUAAAUGCGGAAGAGAUAAGUGCUGAAAGCAUCUAAGCACGAAACUUGCCCCGAGAUGAGUUCUCCCUGAGACUUAGAGUCUCCUGAAGGAACGUUGAAGACGACGACGUUGAUAGGCCGGGUGUGUAAGCGCAGCGAUGCGUUGAGCUAACCGGUACUAAUGAACCGUGAGGCUUAACCUUACAACGCCGAAG